ACGGGUGAGUAAUACAUCGGAACGUAUCCUGGAGUGGGGGAUAGCCCGGCGAAAGCCGGAUUAAUACCGCAUACACUCUGAGGAGGAAAGCGGGGGACCUUCGGGCCUCGCGCUCAAGGGGCGGCCGAUGGCGGAUUAGGUAGUUGGUGGGGUAAAGGCCUACCAAGCCGACGAUCCGUAGCUGGUCUGAGAGGACGACCAGCCACACUGGGACUGAGACACGGCCCAGACUCCUACGGGAGGCAGCAGUGGGGAAUUUUGGACAAUGGGGGCAACCCUGAUCCAGCAAUGCCGCGUGUGUGAAGAAGGCCUUCGGGUUGUAAAGCACUUUUGUCCGGAAAGAAAUCAUCGGGGCCAAUACCCCUGGUGGAUGACGGUACCGGAAGAAUAAGCACCGGCUAACUACGUGCCAGCAGCCGCGGUAAUACGUAGGGUGCGAGCGUUAAUCGGAAUUACUGGGCGUAAAGCGUGCGCAGGCGGUGCUGUAAGACCGAUGUGAAAUCCCCGGGCUUAACCUGGGAACUGCAUUGGUGACUGCAGCGCUGGAGUAUGGCAGAGGGGGGUGGAAUUCCACGU
This 576-nucleotide ribosomal RNA is filed under the name uncultured bacterium. RNAcentral describes it as "bacterial SSU rRNA". It matches the Rfam family "Bacterial small subunit ribosomal RNA", at positions 102 to 674 of the family's 1533-position model. The record is from RNAcentral.